GCCAUACCACCCUGAACUCGCCCGAUCUUGUCUGAUCUCGGAAGCUAAGCAGGGUCGGGCCUGGUUAGUACUUGGAUGGGAGA
RNAcentral lists this ribosomal RNA (83 nucleotides) under Ailuropoda melanoleuca (giant panda). Lineage: Eukaryota; Metazoa; Chordata; Mammalia; Carnivora; Ursidae. The record is from RNAcentral.